This 253-nucleotide ribosomal RNA is filed under the name uncultured bacterium. Its description in RNAcentral is "partial 16S ribosomal RNA". It matches the Rfam family "Bacterial small subunit ribosomal RNA", at positions 524 to 776 of the family's 1533-position model. The record is from RNAcentral.
GACAGAGGAUGCAAGCGUUAUCCGGAUUUAUUGGGCGUAAAGCGAGCGCAGACGGUUGAUUAAGUCUGAUGUGAAAGCCCGGAGCUCAACUCCGGAAUGGCAUUGGAAACUGGUUAACUUGAGUGUUGUAGAGGUAAGUGGAACUCCAUGUGUAGCGGUGGAAUGCGUAGAUAUAUGGAAGAACACCAGUGGCGAAGGCGGCUUACUGGACAACAACUGACGUUGAGGCUCGAAAGUGUGGGUAGCAAACAGG